CGGGGCGUAGCUCAGUUGGGUUAGAGUGCUUGACUGGGGGUCAAGAGGUCGCUGGUUCGAAUCCAGUCGCCCCGA
This 75-nucleotide transfer RNA is filed under the name Phycisphaerae bacterium. Its description in RNAcentral is "tRNA-Pro". It matches the Rfam family "tRNA". Rfam says of the family: Transfer RNA (tRNA) molecules are approximately 80 nucleotides in length. Their secondary structure includes four short double-helical elements and three loops (D, anti-codon, and T loops). Further hydrogen bonds mediate the characteristic L-shaped molecular structure. tRNAs have two regions of fundamental functional importance: the anti-codon, which is responsible for specific mRNA codon recognition, and the 3' end, to which the tRNAs corresponding amino acid is attached (by aminoacyl-tRNA synthetases). tRNAs cope with the degeneracy of the genetic code in two manners: having more than one tRNA (with a specific anti-codon) for a particular amino acid; and 'wobble' base-pairing, i.e. permitting non-standard base-pairing at the 3rd anti-codon position. The record is from RNAcentral. Lineage: Bacteria; Pseudomonadati; Planctomycetota; Phycisphaerae.